Molecule: unclassified non-coding RNA, 726 nt
Filed under: Hevea brasiliensis (rubber tree)
Lineage: Eukaryota; Viridiplantae; Streptophyta; Magnoliopsida; Malpighiales; Euphorbiaceae
Source: RNAcentral
UUGCCAUUCUUCAUGUGUUCAGGCUUUUGGAAAGACAAAAAAGUUGCGGUAAAGAGACUUGAACAUGUAGAUCAUGCCAGGAUGCCUAACCCUGAUCCUAAAUAACAGAUAGCCCUAGCUAUCCCAGGAAACCUAACUUUUGCAAUCAGUAACAAAUAAUUUCCUAGUGUCUUGAGUGAUUCAGGUAUUGCUAACUGCUGUAUGCAAUAGCUAGUGCUGAAUUCUGUAAUUUGCACCUUGAACAAACUUCUAUUUCUCCAGUGUCCUUCUUACUCUCUCUCCAUCUCUCUCUCUUUGCAGCACGACUAAGGGUUGCUAACGGCCUUUCUUUGGCCGGUAGUGGCCUCUACUUCUCAUUUCUUUGGGUUUUUAGAUAUUUUCUUUAGUAAUAAAGGUAAUUCUUUUAGAUCCAUAGAAUUUUUCAUGGAUUUACUUAGUUUUCUCUCCUUUUUAUGGAGUUAGCUUUCUAUGACUUUUGAUUAUGUCCUCUUGAUGGGAAUUCCAAGCUUAAAAGAAGAGUUAUCUUUACAGUUUCUUGAAGAUCCUUGCCUUAGCUUACUUGGUGGAUAAGAAGAUUUUCAAGCAAAAAUUAAAGUUAGUUUAUGUGAUGCCACCGAUUUGUAGAUGGUAAAAAAACUUUGGACCGAUCUACUCGAGAUCAAUGCUCUUUUCACUCGUCUACAAUAUCUGUGGUAGAUGUAAAAGGUAUGUGUUUUUACUCCCUAA